This 439-nucleotide ribosomal RNA is filed under the name uncultured bacterium. Its description in RNAcentral is "partial 16S ribosomal RNA". It matches the Rfam family "Bacterial small subunit ribosomal RNA", at positions 338 to 795 of the family's 1533-position model. The record is from RNAcentral.
CCUACGGGGUGCAGCAGUGAGGGAUAUUGGUCAAUGGGGGAAACCCUGAACCAGCAACGCCGCGUGAGGGAAGACGGUUUUCGGAUUGUAAACCUCUGUCCUCUGUGAAGAUGAUGACGGUAGCAGAGGAGGAAGCUUCGGCUAACUACGUGCCAGCAGCCGCGGUAAUACGUAGGGAGCAAGCGUUGUCCGGAUUUACUGGGUGUAAAGGGUGCGUAGGUGGUUUCUUAAGUCAGAGGUGAAAGGCUACGGCUCAACCGUAGUAAGCCUUUGAAACUGGGGAACUUGAGUGCAGGAGAGGAGAGUGGAAUUCCUAGUGUAGCGGUGAAAUGCGUAGAUAUUAGGAGGAACACCAGUUGCGAAGGCGGCUCUCUGGACUGUAACUGACACUGAGGCACGAAAGCGUGGGGAGCAAACAGGAUUAGAUACCCCAGUAGUC